Molecule: long non-coding RNA, 1311 nt
Filed under: Homo sapiens (human)
Lineage: Eukaryota; Metazoa; Chordata; Mammalia; Primates; Hominidae
Description: HSALNT0183992
Source: RNAcentral
CUCACUGACGAGGGCAAGGGAGGAGGGUGAAUCACACGCUGGAGUUUUCCACCAAGUACCUGCCCUCUGUGGCUUCUAGGCAAGGCCCUGGACCUUCACAACCCUUCUCCUUGGGAUUUUCCUAGAGAAAGCACCCAGAGCGUACCUCAAGAAGCAAUGUAGAGAGGACCCAGGAUUGGGACCAGACAGACCUGAGUUUCUUCUCCUCCUCUAUCAUGUAUCAGUCACGACAGCUAGGCAAGGGUCAGCCUUGGUUUCCCAGUCUGUCAAAGUCCCACCUGCGCUGUUAGAGCCUCACCCCCUCAGCCACCUCCCUCCAGUUUGAUGACCUCACACCACGUGUCACCAAGUGACGGAAAGGACCCUCACACCCAUUACCUCCUUUGAGCCCUACGACAAGCCCUGCUUGGAGAAGGAGUGCGUGGCGUUUUCUGCAACUGCGAAGCAAAGAACCUGAAUUCCAAGUGACUGCACAGACACGCAGCAAGUUCUGGAAGCACACCUCCGGGUUCUUACACCAAUAGGUGACUCUCACACCGUGUUCCACCAUCAGGAAGCUCCUCGAUGCGACUCAGAUCACAUCUGGGUCCCACAUUCCCGCUGAGGCCGGCAGUUCCGGCAACUUUGGUCAUACGGAUGGAGACAGCACGGCACCACGCGGGAGGUGUUCUGUCAACAGUGUCCGGUGGAUGGAGCUGCUGGCUUGCAGCAUCUCGAGUUCGGGCCUGCCUCUCCAGCAGAUGUAUUUCUCCCCCGGUAAGACUGAGAUUGAGCCCAGCACCCUCGGGGAAUGCCCGAGCAGCAUUCUCCAGGAAGGGGCAGCCAAGGCUGACAUACAGCAGGACUGCUGUCGUUAAUCUUCACCAACUCUUCCAACGACAAAAAGUCAAAAACUGAAGACAAGCAAAUAUUUCAGUGCAUUUUUUUCCACUAGUGGACAUGUGAAAAACUAAGAUCACCCAGGGAAGCCUGUGCACCCUUAGACUGCAGCCCUAAGAGUCACAGGACACACCAAGGGCAGCACCAGAAGACCCAUCUGAACAAAGCACAAAGGCGGAGGAAGGAAGCUGAGGACAUGUGGAGAGAGGCUGGGCAGCCUCCUCUGGUCCACAUGCCUGAUGAUGGAGGCUCUCAGCCUGGCCCCACCACCCGCCCCCAUCACCGUGCUGAGUGGGCCCCAGUGAGAACUCAAUGGGGGAGGCUAGGAUGGGGAGGGGCAGGGUCCUAAACCACAACAGUAACAUGGGGAAGGGUGAAGGCAGCCAGGCAGGGGGCAGAAAUCAGACAGAACCGCUAGCAGUCAGCGGGAAG